This is a small nucleolar RNA of Mastomys coucha (southern multimammate mouse), 132 nucleotides long. RefSeq annotates it as small nucleolar RNA SNORA17. The record is from RefSeq and is a predicted model, not a curated record. NCBI's taxonomy places the organism in Eukaryota, Metazoa, Chordata, Mammalia, Rodentia, Muridae. The transcript has a single exon.
CUUGCCCCUGGAUGUAUUGUGGAUGUGGGUGCUGUGUCACAUAUGCGACAGAAGGUGGCAGAGCAGAGAGAGGCUAUGUUUACGCUAAAUUUUCUGACCUAUAAACAUCUGAAUGAUUAAUAGCCUAAUAUU